GAUGAAUGCUGGCGGCGUGCCUAACACAUGCAAGUCGAGCGGCAGCGCGGUCUUCGGACUGGCGGCGAGCGGCGGACGGCUGAGUAACGCGUGGGAACAUGCCCCAAAGUGAGGGAUAACCGCCCGAAAGGGUGGCUAAUACCGCAUACGAUCUUCGGAUUAAAGGAUUUAUCCGCCUUGGGAGUGGCCUGCGUACGAUUAGAUUGUUGGUGAGGUAAUGGCUCACCAAGUCGGCGAUCGUUAACUGGUCUGAGAGGAUGAUCAGUCAGACUGGAACUGAGACACGGUCCAGACUCCUACGGGAGGCAGCAGUGAGGAAUCUUCCACAAUGGGCGAAAGCCUGAUGGAGCAACGCCGCGUGCAGGAUGAAGGCCUUCGGGUCGUAAACUGCUUUUAUAAGUGAAGAAUAUGACGGUAACUUAUGAAUAAGCACCGGCUAACUACGUGCCAGCCGCCGCCGUA
Molecule: ribosomal RNA, 462 nt
Filed under: uncultured bacterium
Lineage: Bacteria
Description: partial 16S ribosomal RNA
Rfam family: Bacterial small subunit ribosomal RNA
Source: RNAcentral